CCUACGGGUGGCAGCAGUGAGGAAUAUUGGUCAAUGGACGAGAGUCUGAACCAGCCAAGUAGCGUGAAGGAUGACUGCCCUAUGGGUUGUAAACUUCUUUUAUAAAGGAAUAAAACGAGGCACGUGUGCCUUUUUGCAUGUACUUUAUGAAUAAGGAUCGGCUAACUCCGUGCCAGGAGCCGGGGUAAUACGGAGGAUCCGAGCGUUAUCCGGAUUUUUUGGGUUUAAAGGGAGCGUAGAUGGGUUGUUAAGUCAGUUGUGAAAGUUUGCGGGUCAACCGUAAAAUUGCAAUUGAUACUGGCAGUCUUGAGUACAGUUGAGGUAUGCGGAAUUCGUGGUGUAGCGGUGAAAUGCUUAGAUAUCACGAAGAACCCCGAUUGCGAAGGCAGCUUACUAAACUGUGACUGACAUUGAUGCUCGAAAGUGUGGGUAUCAAACAGGAUUAGAUACCCUUGUAGUC
RNAcentral lists this ribosomal RNA (460 nucleotides) under uncultured bacterium. Its description in RNAcentral is "partial 16S ribosomal RNA". It matches the Rfam family "Bacterial small subunit ribosomal RNA", at positions 338 to 795 of the family's 1533-position model. The record is from RNAcentral.